This 65-nucleotide transfer RNA is filed under the name Cantacader sp. RNAcentral describes it as "tRNA-Leu". The record is from RNAcentral. Lineage: Eukaryota; Metazoa; Arthropoda; Insecta; Hemiptera; Tingidae.
UCUAAUAUGACAGAAAAAUGUAUUGAACCUAAAAUUCAAAAAUAAAGAUUAAUCUUUUAUUAGAA